This 1453-nucleotide long non-coding RNA is filed under the name Macaca fascicularis (crab-eating macaque). RNAcentral's name for it is "lncRNA (ENSMFAG00000062203.1)". The record is from RNAcentral. Lineage: Eukaryota; Metazoa; Chordata; Mammalia; Primates; Cercopithecidae.
UAGAUCAUACCAAAAAGUGGUUUAUUAAAAGAAGAGAAUUUUCUAAUAGAUAUAUGGAAAAGACUCUUGCAUGGUUUAAUAAUUCCACCAGUGAAUAAUGGUAAAUUACAUGAACACAUUGGGAAAAUAUUUAAAUUUUUUGCUGAUCUGUUACAAACUACUGGCAUCCAGAAAGAUAGCAUAAAAUUCAUAAUAUGCCACUAUAACAAGACCUCAACAUCAUCAACACAAUUUUUAAUGAAACUUGUCAAUUAAAAAAUAUUUAAAAUUAGUCACCACACAAGAAAACUCAAAAUGCCUUAAGUUUUUACAGCCCACAGAUGAAAGAAACUUGAUUGAGGUUUCCUCAAAUUUGACAUCAAUUCUAAAAAUGUACAUGACAUUUCCAAUAGACUUGUGAGCCUGAAAGAAAUUUCCUUAAAUUAUCAAUGGUACAAAACAAGUUUUGAUCAACCAUGUUGAAGGAAAGACUGAAUAAUCUCUUUAUUCUCUGUAUAGAAAAUGAUAUUAUAAAACCAUUGUCACAUGAAGAAGCAAUCAAAGAAUGUGCAGCCGGAUGCGGGUGGAAAGAGGUAGGCAAGACUGAAAAAGGCAAGAAAAAGGAGCAAGAGGUGGAAGGUAGAUGGAAUGAGGAAACGAGGAGGAAGAUAAAAGCAAAGAUGAUGAUGUGAUAAUGAUGAAAAACAAGUUGGUCCUAGCUCCGUUUUUUUUUUCCCCUCUCAUCUAUAAGGCAUUUGAAACACCCGCACUGCACACAAGUCACUCCUAUUUAAAAACAUUCAAUGAGAGGCUGUGCAAUAUUUGUUUUUACAUUGCACAGGGUCACUUUUGUGCAGUUAAUAACUUAUUUUUUCAGAGAACAUGUGACAGUGGGUUUUAAUUCAUGUGGAACUUUCCCAGCAACAGGGGGAAGUGAGUCCCAUGAUAUGUCAAUGGCUACAUAAUUCCCUGGGAUCUAGGCCUGGCUGUGUCAUUGACCAGCUCUAAGAUCUUGGGAAUGGGACUUAAUCCACCUGGACUUUGGCAUUUACUCUGGAGUAAAUUAGUAAAUGUAAAAGGUAUGUCUCAGUUUUGAAAUUAUGUCAUAAUUUGCUUAAAGCAUUUCAAAGAAAGAAGAGAUUAUGAAGUAGAUCUCUUACAGAUAAGGGAACUGGGACCACAACAAACUGAGAAGCUUAUUCUCAGCACAGACAACUCAAUUAUAGCCUCCUGGUUAACUGGUCCUUCUUUCUUUUACUUUUCCAAAUUUUUAAAUUAAGAUAUAAUUCACAACCACAAAAUUCAUCCUUUUAAAAUGCAUAGUUCAAUGGUUUGUACUAUAUGCACAAGGCUGUGCAACCAUCACCACUAUCUAAUCUCAAAGCAUGUUCAUCACCCCCAAAAGAAACCCAUACGCAUUAGCCAUCACUCUUCACUAUCCCCUUCUUCCUGCCUGCCCCUGGCAACCACUAAC